This 748-nucleotide long non-coding RNA is filed under the name Panax ginseng (ginseng). Its description in RNAcentral is "long non-coding RNA (PGIN_LNC004351)". Lineage: Eukaryota; Viridiplantae; Streptophyta; Magnoliopsida; Apiales; Araliaceae. The record is from RNAcentral.
UGGAAUGUGCUGCAUAGGUCCGUUUAUUUGACAGGCUUGGCAUUCUCUUGCAUAAUCCAUGUAGUCCUUGAGUAUAUAUAGUUGGCAAAAAUACGAGUAUUUCUGAAUCAAUCAACUCAUCUUAAUGCCUAACUGAUGAGCCCCGUAUAUACCCUCAUGUGCUUCAGCCAUAAUUAGUCUUGAUUCUUCUACAUUCACACACAAAAACAUAGUUUCAUCUUUAUAACACCUUUUAUACAAGACACCAUCUAACAAAAUGUACCUGACAACCCUAUGUUGGGAAAAAUCACCUCCUAAAUACUGUUGUCUUUGAUAAAUUAGAUGGAUAAAAUAUCAGUAUAUGCCAAACAAAUUAAAUCCGCAGUUCUACCAGAAUAAUAACCACUGUAGAAAAUAAUGAGUAGAAAAUAUCCAACCACGAGACACCAAGAUUAUUACGUGAAAAACCCUUUAAAACUAAGAGGUAAAAACCACGAGACGAUCUUCGAAAAAUUCAUUAGAAUAAACUGAGAGAAUAGAAAGAUAUCUUAAUUUGAGUCCCACUCAAAUUACCUCACUACAAUAACUAUGUAAUGAACCCAAACAACACCCCUAGUAAUUUAAUCUUUUUCUCUAUAUUUUUCUUUCUUAACUCUCUUUUAUUUUCUCUCUUUUUCUUUCACUCUUCCGGGUGGGAUUUCUCCCUUUGAUGGAAUCUCUUACAUUUUCCAUGGGAUUAAUCUGGCAACCUUGGAGGUUUAAAUAGGUA